CCCCUACGGGGGGCAGCAGUGGGGAAUCUUCCGCAAUGGGCGAAAGCCUGACGGAGCAACGCCGCGUGAUCGAAUGAAGGCCUUCGGGUUGUAAAGAUCUGUUGACAGGGACGAAUAAGCAAUGCGAAUAGUUUUGUGUAUGACGGUACCUGUUUAGAAAGCUCCGGCUAACUACGUGCCAGCAGCCGCGGUAAUACAUAGGGGGCAAGCGUUAUCCGGAAUUAUUGGGUGUAAAGGGUGCGUAGACGGAAGAACAAGUUGGUUGUGAAAUCCCUCGGCUCAACUGAGGAACUGCAACCAAAACU
Molecule: ribosomal RNA, 305 nt
Filed under: uncultured bacterium
Lineage: Bacteria
Description: bacterial SSU rRNA
Rfam family: Bacterial small subunit ribosomal RNA
Source: RNAcentral